RNAcentral lists this transfer-messenger RNA (396 nucleotides) under bovine gut metagenome. It matches the Rfam family "transfer-messenger RNA". Rfam says of the family: Bacterial tmRNA, also known as 10Sa RNA or SsrA, is named for its dual tRNA and mRNA-like properties. Its role is to liberate the mRNA from a stalled ribosome. The record is from RNAcentral.
GGGGGUGCAAAGGUUUCGACGGGGAUUCUGAAGGCUGAUAAGCGUGGCGAGCCGGGUAAACUCGAUAACUGCCCAAACUUAAAAAAAUAAACGACGACACUAACGUUGCUUUGGCUGCCUGAGUUUUACGCCCUUGUGGCGUGAAGCUCGGCAGUGCCGCGGCCUGCGGGCCGCCCGUUCCGCCGGAGAAGACCGCGACUCCGGAUGGGGCGUCAAAUGAGCGGUGAACCUGCAUCGGCGGUUCGCUCUUGAACCGGUCAGGCAAAAAAGGGCUACUUUGAAGGAGAGCGUGUCUGCUCGCGCUCCGGAGGGGGAAUUUCAAAUAACAGACUGUCCACGAAGAAAGUCAACCCAAGGGGUUUUCGGACAUGGGUUCGAUUCCCAUCAUCUCCACCA